Molecule: ribosomal RNA, 429 nt
Filed under: Fusobacteriota bacterium
Lineage: Bacteria; Fusobacteriati; Fusobacteriota
Description: Fusobacteria bacterium partial 16S ribosomal RNA
Rfam family: Bacterial small subunit ribosomal RNA
Source: RNAcentral
UGGGGAAUCUUCCGCAAUGGACGAAAGUCUGACGGAGCAACGCCGCGUGAGUGAAGACGGCCUUCGGGUUGUAAAGCUCUGUUAUUCGGGAAGAACGAUUCGUUUGUGAACAAUGAACGGAAGUGACGGUACCGAAAGAGAAAGCCACGGCUAACUACGUGCCAGCAGCCGCGGUAAUACGUAGGUGGCAAGCGUUGUCCGGAAUUAUUGGGCGUAAAGAGCGCGUAGGCGGUAUGGUAAGUCUGUCUUAGAAGUGCGGGGCUUAACCCCGUGAGGGGACAGAGACUGUCAUACUGGAGUCUCGGAGAGGAAAGCGGAAUUCCUAGUGUAGCGGUGAAAUGCGUAGAGAUUAGGAAGAACACCGGUGGAGAAGGCGGCUUUCUGGACGAGCACUGACGCUGAGGCGCGAAAGCGUGGGGAGCGAACAGG